This 74-nucleotide transfer RNA is filed under the name Candidatus Pelagibacterales bacterium. RNAcentral's name for it is "tRNA-Arg". It matches the Rfam family "tRNA". From Rfam's summary of the family: Transfer RNA (tRNA) molecules are approximately 80 nucleotides in length. Their secondary structure includes four short double-helical elements and three loops (D, anti-codon, and T loops). The record is from RNAcentral. Lineage: Bacteria; Pseudomonadati; Pseudomonadota; Alphaproteobacteria; Candidatus Pelagibacterales.
GCGCCUGUAGCUCAAUUGGAUAGAGCGCUCGGCUACGGACCGGGAGGUUCUGGGUUCAACUCCUAGCAGGCGCG